GGGGGUGUAGCUCAGCUGGGAGAGCGCUUGAAUGGCAUUCAAGAGGUCAGCGGUUCGAUCCCGCUCAUCUCCACCA
Molecule: transfer RNA, 76 nt
Filed under: Geobacter sp. SVR
Lineage: Bacteria; Pseudomonadati; Thermodesulfobacteriota; Desulfuromonadia; Geobacterales; Geobacteraceae
Also listed under: 1 other name
Description: tRNA-Ala
Rfam family: tRNA
About the family: Transfer RNA (tRNA) molecules are approximately 80 nucleotides in length. Their secondary structure includes four short double-helical elements and three loops (D, anti-codon, and T loops). Further hydrogen bonds mediate the characteristic L-shaped molecular structure. tRNAs have two regions of fundamental functional importance: the anti-codon, which is responsible for specific mRNA codon recognition, and the 3' end, to which the tRNAs corresponding amino acid is attached (by aminoacyl-tRNA synthetases). tRNAs cope with the degeneracy of the genetic code in two manners: having more than one tRNA (with a specific anti-codon) for a particular amino acid; and 'wobble' base-pairing, i.e. permitting non-standard base-pairing at the 3rd anti-codon position.
Source: RNAcentral